UAAUCUUCACGUUUUACAAAUACAGUUAUCACCAUAGUAUAUCAUAUUAUAAACGGUUUGUGAUAUGUUUUCGUAAACUCAAUCGUUAUCUUGCUGUUUUUCACCAUGUUUCGUUAUUCCCAAAAAUUUAGGAGAACGACUUUGUGACCAUUUAAAGAAAGCAGUGGAAACGGAGAAAGAAACUGAAGAGCAACUCAAUUUGCUUCUUGAGAAGUUGAAUGAGACAGGUAUUAAGGUGGACGUAUCCGGCGUCUCAGAGUGGAGCAUUAUGGAGAAAUCUACGGCUAACAAAGCGGCCAGUACAGGAAGACCCAGUUCAUCACCAGAUGAUUACCCGGACAAGUUGAGGCAGUUUUUCUGUGUAAGAACAAACCUGCAAAAAUGUUCCCCGGCAUCUGAAAUUUGGAAAGUACUGACCGAUCAGCUUGACAGGUAUGAAACCAUAUUUUGGAUCCUGCAAUUUAUUCCUCUAAUCUGGGAACUAAAUGAUCUUUACGUAAGGAUAUUAAAACGAUUUUCAAAUGAGGUCCGCCAAAACAAAGCAAAGAACUCAUUACCAGCCACAAAAUCUAGAAAUAACUUAUCAUACAAGUAAACAGACAAUCAGGCAGUCGGGCAAUCAGAAUUAUGGAAAAUUCCAUGUCAUUACACGUGGAAGUCGUUAUUGGUAUUUUACUGGGUUCUCAGGGCAAGUUUUGAUUGCCAAUCGCACUUCAAAGCAAUGCAAAUCCAAACUAAUAAUUUCAACCGAAUUUUGGGUUUCUCCACUGUUUUCCUUUACGCUGGUAAUAGGUCAGCUAAAGAACCUUGAGGGCGGCCAACCUCGAUGGUCUCCUGACAGUAGCAUGGAUAUUGCAUACCUCCGCGAUUUGCAAAACAAGCGUCGAGGAGACUUGCUAUUAUCCAUGCAUGUCAAGUGCUCAGAAAGGUGGUUUCUCUUACAACUGAUGAA
Pocillopora damicornis (cauliflower coral) is the source of this 952-nucleotide long non-coding RNA. The record is from RefSeq and is a predicted model, not a curated record. Lineage: Eukaryota; Metazoa; Cnidaria; Anthozoa; Scleractinia; Pocilloporidae.